This 4191-nucleotide long non-coding RNA is filed under the name Arachis ipaensis. RNAcentral describes it as "long non-coding RNA (AIPA_LNC000592)". Lineage: Eukaryota; Viridiplantae; Streptophyta; Magnoliopsida; Fabales; Fabaceae. The record is from RNAcentral.
CGAAACAAAAGUUUGUAUCAAUACCUCACGUCGUUGGAGCUCAAUUGACCGUGCCAGAGCCUUUCUCUUUGUUAAAAGAUUCUUUGGUCUUAAAGUUAAAGGUCGCUGGUAGUCCUUUCCCCGGUAAACAACUAUAGCAUAUCCUUUUGAAACUUUGUCAACCGAAACUAAAAUGCCUCCACUCUCGGCUUCGAGUGCCAAUGCGACCUUUUUCACUUGAUCAAAGGUUUUAGCCUUCACAAUUAUCUUAACCAGUUCCCUAUAUUUCCAGUGCAGGUGCAUGUUCUCAAUGGUACCAUCAAAAACUCCACGUCUACCUGACACCAAAAAUCAGGUUCAUAUAAAACAAAUUUGAUUUAAAUUUGUUUUAUGGAUAAGCAUCAUGUGUAGUUUUAAUCAAAUUUACUAUCCCACCCUUACUCUCUAACCAAGGACACCCUGAUUUCUUCCUUCCACCCUUUGCUAAAGGUGAAAUGAACCAAAAUGGUCCUGAAAUAAAUUGACAAUUUUAUAUGCUCUUACCAAGAAGUAAGAAGGCUUUCAUCCGCAAUCCUAAUUUGCGAAACAUAAACCUCUCUUCGUCAGUUAUGCUUUCAGGGUCUGAUUUGGGUUCCGAUGGCAUCAAAGAUGACUCCACUUUCAUCAAGGCUCGUUCAGCUCUCAUUACCUUUCUUUCAGCCUGGUAUAAGUGAAAAUCCCAGGAUCAAUCACAAUAAUAUAUAUGCCAAGUUGGAAAACAAUCCUAGAGUGGAGUUAGGACAUCAAAGAAGACAACAAGAAUGUAAAAAACUCCAAGGCACUUACACAUCAAACAUAAUAUCUAUAACCAUUGGUGAUAAGGCCUUAUUUAGAGUCAUACUAAGCACGUUUGGAAAUUAAACAAGCUUAGCGGUUAUAAAAAGUGCUUAAACUUGUUGAUAAUGUAUGGAUUUGUGUCAGGUGCAAAAUAAGUAAUAAAUAUUUUUUUCUCCUUGUAAACUUGGUCUAUUGCCUUCAUUAUUCAUUGUUUUAAUGCCUGUAAGAAAACCCUUAGGGAACUAUCAUUUUUCUCAAUCAUGGAAGUGACUUAACAUGAAAUCCAUUAGCAAGUUGAUAAGAGAUUUCUAUUCACUUACCAGAAACAGAUUUCGUUCUAACUUGUUAACAACUUUGGUAUGUCGUUGUAGUUCUACUUCUCUCAUUAUUUUUUGUUUGUGAUGUUCGUCCAAGGUCUUUCGCCACUUUGCAUCAGCAUCCAAAGUUUCACCAAGGGUCCCAGCCUCUGCAGAUAUCUCUGAAUUAUUAAUUGUUGGUAAGAUCAAAGAUGACGCUCUCAAUCUUGCUUGUUCUUCCUCAUCUUGCAUUGCUUUUGCCAUUCUUUCCCUCUCCUUCAAGGCUUGUGUGACUGUUGCUGACAAAAAGUUCUUUCCCCGAUAAAAGACCAAGAAGUAUUUAUUCCUCGAGAGUAGUACACCACCUGUCAAUUUCUGGGAAAAAAAAAGUAAUAAUUUAUCAACAGCAUAUAACAGGCAACCAUUUAUUAUUAUUUCAGUAUUUGUCUAUAACUAGAUUCGUUGAUGCAUGUAAAGUCCAUCCAACACUAAUCUAAAUGCAACUUGCAAGGCCAUCUGACUAACUUCUAUAUAUUAAUAUACAGUUAGUUCAUAAUUUUACAUUCUAACUUAUUAAAUAUCUAUAUUUUUCCAAAAUCCCUUUAUAAUGUGAUAACUUCAAAAUAACUUGAUAUCACUUAAACUUGUUAGAGAUACAAAUCCAGCGCCAGACUUCCACCUAUAAGAGUUGAAUCCCUCAAGUGUUACAAACAUAAGUUGUGGAGCAGUCUUGACCCCUUAAAUACAUUUCAUGUCUACUAAAGGAAGCUGCCAUUAGCAAAUUAUGGAGAAAAAACCGUACAUUUUUUGAACACGGGAAAAGCUUUUUCAUUAUGAAACGGCAUACGUAAUAAAAAUAACGUUGAAGAAAAAACUGGGAAAAAGUCAACAUUUUUACAAGUGGAACUGGAAGAGACAUGAUUUAUCAUUUAUCACCUUGAUCUCUUCUGCCAUUCUCUCGCUUGUAGUUAGCGGCACACCGCGUUUGAGUGCAACCUUUGCAAUAGAACUUUUUUCCCAUAAUUUAAUCAUGGCUGUAGCUAACCCUUGAAGCUGUCUGUUUCUGCCUAUACACAAUGAUUAAUUUAUAAUCAGCACGAAACUAUAUACACAAUGAUUAAUUUAUACUUCACAUGCACAAGAGAAUUAAUUGCUAACCUAAUGCAAAAUGUGGAGGAAGGGUCCUUGCAAUCCUUCGUAGAGAAGUUGCCUCUGUUUGACCAAGCGAGGGUCUCACUCCAAAGGGAAGAACUCUGAAGGGAGGCUCAUAAUCAGGAACAGUUGCUGGAAGCAUAUCUGCAUCAACUGGCAACGGCUCACUCCCAGGCCAAUCUGUGUAUCUAGGGCCUAGAGUAUCCAAAAAUUUGCCUACUUCAUCUUCGUAAGUAACUUCUGGAAGCAAAUUUUUUUCCUUUUGGUCAUCAGUAGCUUCCAUUUUUUCCAAAUGUGGACUUGUCCCAAAAUUAGAAGCAAUGUCAGAAUGCUUUUCCAAUGAACGAUGAGGUGGUGCUGGUAGAGACUUAAAAGAAUUCUCACUUUUCCCAUAUAUCUGUUUGUUCUGUUGCACUGAAGAACUCCCUCUUUUCCUAUAUAUCCACUUGUUCUGUUGUAUUGAAGGAGCUUCAUAGCUCACACCCCUGUACAAGGAAACAGAGUUGCCAGACCUCCAAACCACGAGACCACCAGUUUUCCUCUGAAUGUGAUUUUAAAAUAAUCAAGAAUAAGAAUAAGGCGAUGACCAAUGAAGAAUAUAUCCACACCCCAACAAUAUAAAAGAAAAGAAAACACAUAAACAAAACAAUAGCAGUCAGAAGAAGCAAGUUGAACAUGUAAUCAUAGAGCAUUCAACAUUCAAACAAAUCCCUAAGGAUAAUUGGGAUUAUUCUAACAAGAGAUGUGGUUGAUCAAGAAAUGUAUCCAAAUCCAAAAGAGAGGAAGUAUUCUCUCGAAUUCUAGAAAAUGUCACAAGAAUUCAUCACUAUAUGAAAAAAUUUGUGAAAAAGAAAUAUCAUGUUUCACAUCAAAACCUUUUAAGAAUAUCAGAACAUGUCAUACGGACAGAUUUGACCUUGGAUGUCCAACUAUAACACCAAGAAAGGGAAGGUGUCUAUAGAAUGCUAUUCAAUUCAUCUAAGACAAGUUUACCUAUGCUUCACAAAGACACUGUUACCUUCAAUACACUAUUGCAUUUGAAUCUAAUUAUCAUUAUAAGUUAUAAAUGAAGCUAAACUAAACAUAGAAGACUUAGAUACAUGAAACUAAGCCAAAGGUAGAAGGCAAACCUCCAGUAGCUCGUGCAUCCUCUUCAUGUUAAGUGCAGCUUCCCCUUCGAAUUUCAGCCUAACAAUCUCCGACUCUUUCCACCUCUCAUGAAUCUUGUCCACAAGACCUUGAGUAACCCCACCACCUCCAACUCUGGUCUUAUGCUUCUUCUCGAAAGUUAAGCGCCUCAGCCUCCUCAAUUCCGACUCUGGAAGAGUCAGUUCUGCAAGAGAAGUCUUACUUUCCCUCCUUCUUCGAUUAUACCUCUCUUCCUCUUCUUUCUCUUUAUCUAUUGGCUUCUCCCAUGGAAAUCUUACUAUUUCAGAUCUUAUCUUCUCCACUUUCUUUUGCAAAUUUGAAAUAUGCUUCAAGAGAGCCUGUUAUCAGUGGAAAAGGGAAAUUAAAAAAGAGCAUGCAUUGUACUAGUAAGUACAAUACUAGAAGAAAAUUAGGAUAAAUUAUCAAUUAAUUAGAGAGACCUACAAGUGUUUUUGGAUUUUGCAUGAAGAUUGAUAUUAGAUAUCACGAAACAAAAGUUUGUAUCAAUACCUCACGUCGUUGGAGCUCAAUUGACCGUGCUAGAGCCUUUCUCUUUGUCAAAAGAUUCUUCGGUCUUAGAGUUAAAGGUCGCUGGUAGUCCUUACCCCGGUAAACAACUAUAGCAUAUCCUUUUGAAACUUUGUCAACCGAAACUAAAAUGCCUCCACUCUCGGCUUCGAGUGCCAAUGCGACCUUUUUCACUUGAUCAAAGGUUUUAGCCUUCACAAUUAUCUUAACCAGUUCCCUAUAUUUCCAGUGCAGGUGCAUGUUCUCAAUUGUACCAUCAAAAACUCCACGU